Molecule: ribosomal RNA, 440 nt
Filed under: uncultured bacterium
Lineage: Bacteria
Description: partial 16S ribosomal RNA
Rfam family: Bacterial small subunit ribosomal RNA
Source: RNAcentral
CCUACGGGAGGCAGCAGUAGGGAAUUUUGCGCAAUGGGCGAAAGCCUGACGCAGCAACGCCGCGUGAUCGAGACGCCCUUCGGGGUGUAAAGAUCUGUCAGUGGGGACGAAACUUGACGGUACCCCCAGAGGAAGCACCGGCUAACUCCGUGCCAGCAGCCGCGGGUAUACGGUGGGUGCAAGCGUUUUCCGGAAUCAUUGGGCGUAAAGGGUUCGUAGGCGGGACGUAAAGGCAGGUGUUAAAGGCAGGGGCUGAACCUCUGAACGGCACUUGAUACUUGCGGGCUAGAGUGAGGUAGAGGCAGGGGGAAUUCCUGGUGUAGCGGUGAAAUGCGUAGAUAUCGGGAGGAACAUCAGUGGCGAAGGCGGUUUACUGGGCCGUAACUGACGCUGAGGAACGAAAGCGAGGGUAGCAAAUGGGAUUAGAUACCCCUGUAGUC